CCUACGGGGGGCAGCAGUGAGGAAUAUUGGUCAAUGGACGAGAGUCUGAACCAGCCAAGUAGCGUGAAGGAUGACUGCCCUAUGGGUUGUAAACUUCUUUUAUAUGGGAAUAAAAUGUUCCACGUGUGGGCUUUUGUAUGUACCAUAUGAAUAAGGAUCGGCUAACUCCGUGCCAGCAGCCGCGGUAAUACGGAGGAUCCGAGCGUUAUCCGGAUUUAUUGGGUUUAAAGGGAGCGUAGGUGGGUUGUUAAGUCAGUUGUGAAAGUUUUCGGCUCAACCGUAAAAUUGCCGUUGAAACUGGCAGUCUUGAGUACAGUAGAGGUGGGCGGAAUUCGUGGUGUAGCGGUGAAAUGCUUAGAUAUCACGAAGAACUCCGAUUGCGAAGGCAGCUCACUGGACUGCAACUGACACUGAGGCUCGAAAGUGUGGGUAUCAAACAGGAUUAGAUACCCGUGUAGUC
RNAcentral lists this ribosomal RNA (460 nucleotides) under uncultured bacterium. Its description in RNAcentral is "partial 16S ribosomal RNA". It matches the Rfam family "Bacterial small subunit ribosomal RNA", at positions 338 to 795 of the family's 1533-position model. The record is from RNAcentral.